Molecule: non-coding RNA, 113 nt
Organism: Acanthosepion pharaonis
Lineage: Eukaryota; Metazoa; Mollusca; Cephalopoda; Sepiida; Sepiidae
Source: the annotation of a GenBank genome assembly
UUACAGCCAUAUCACGCUGAAACAUCAGUCCUCAUACGAUCACCGAAGAUAAGCAACAUCAAGUCUGGUCAGUACCUAAAUGGGUGACCACGUGGAAAUAACAAGUGCUGCAU